This is a non-coding RNA of Acanthosepion pharaonis, 108 nucleotides long. The record is from the annotation of a GenBank genome assembly. Lineage: Eukaryota; Metazoa; Mollusca; Cephalopoda; Sepiida; Sepiidae.
GCAUAUCACGUUGAAACACGAGUUCUCAUAUGAUCACCAAAGUUAAGCAACAUUGAGCCUGGUCAGUACCUUGAUGGAUGACCAUUUAGAAAUAUCAGGUGCUGUAAG